GUUAACUUUGAAACUGCGAAUGGCUCAUUAUAUCAGUUAUAGUUUAUUUGAUGAAGAAUACUAAUUGGAUAACCGUAGUAAUUCUAGAGCUAAUACAUGUAUAAAGUCUUGUAGACUGCAUUUAUUAGAAUGAAAACCAUAGGUUUCGGCCUAUUCGUGAGUAAUAAUAACUAAUCAUAUCGUAUGCUUAUGUAACGAUGUGUCUUUCAAGUUUCUGCCCUAUCAGCUUUCGAUGGUAGUGU
Molecule: ribosomal RNA, 242 nt
Filed under: Blastocystis hominis
Lineage: Eukaryota; Bigyra; Opalinata; Blastocystidae
Description: partial small subunit ribosomal RNA
Rfam family: Eukaryotic small subunit ribosomal RNA
Source: RNAcentral